This 394-nucleotide ribosomal RNA is filed under the name uncultured bacterium. RNAcentral's name for it is "bacterial SSU rRNA". It matches the Rfam family "Bacterial small subunit ribosomal RNA", at positions 29 to 430 of the family's 1533-position model. The record is from RNAcentral.
AUUGAACGCUGGCGGCAUGCUUUACACAUGCAAGUCGAACGGUAGACCCUUUCGGGGGUUGAGAGUGGCGAACGGGUGAGUAAUGCAUCGGAACGUGCCUAGUCGUGGGGGAUAACGUAGCGAAAGUUACGCUAAUACCGCAUACGCACUAAGGUGGAAAGCGGGGGACCGUAAGGCCUCGCGCGAUUGGAGCGGCCGAUGUCGGAUUAGCUAGUUGGUGAGGUAAAGGCUCACCAAGGCGACGAUCCGUAGCGGGUCUGAGAGGAUGAUCCGCCACACUGGGACUGAGACACGGCCCAGACUCCUACGGGAGGCAGCAGUGGGGAAUUUUGGACAAUGGGCGCAAGCCUGAUCCAGCCAUGCCGCGUGCGGGAAGAAGGCCUCGGUUGUAACG